This 71-nucleotide transfer RNA is filed under the name Scarabaeidae sp. BMNH 1274750. RNAcentral describes it as "tRNA-Trp". The record is from RNAcentral. Lineage: Eukaryota; Metazoa; Arthropoda; Insecta; Coleoptera; Scarabaeidae.
AAGGAUUUAAGUUAAGAUUAAACUAGAAACCUUCAAAGUUUCAAAUAAAGAUUAAUAUUCUUUAAACCUUA